This 111-nucleotide non-coding RNA is filed under the name Pseudidiomarina salinarum. RNAcentral describes it as "Idiomarina salinarum TPP sequence". It matches the Rfam family "TPP riboswitch aptamer (THI element)". Rfam says of the family: Vitamin B(1) in its active form thiamin pyrophosphate (TPP) is an essential coenzyme that is synthesised by coupling of pyrimidine and thiazole moieties in bacteria. Lineage: Bacteria; Pseudomonadati; Pseudomonadota; Gammaproteobacteria; Alteromonadales; Idiomarinaceae. The record is from Rfam by way of RNAcentral.
CGCUUUACCAAGGGGUGCUGCUCGCGCAAGCGACUAGCUGAGAUGCUGUUAAGCAAACCCUUUGCACCUGAUCCGGUUAAUACUGGCGUAGGGAUGGUAGCUAUCAUACUC